RNAcentral lists this ribosomal RNA (460 nucleotides) under uncultured bacterium. RNAcentral's name for it is "partial 16S ribosomal RNA". It matches the Rfam family "Bacterial small subunit ribosomal RNA", at positions 338 to 795 of the family's 1533-position model. The record is from RNAcentral.
CCUACGGGUGGCAGCAGUGAGGAAUAUUGGUCAAUGGACGAGAGUCUGAACCAGCCAAGUAGCGUGAAGGAUGACUGCCCUAUGGGUUGUAAACUUCUUUUAUAUGGGAAUAAAAUGUUCCACGUGUGGGAUUUUGUAUGUACCAUAUGAAUAAGGAUCGGCUAACUCCGUGCCAGCAGCCGCGGUAAUACGGAGGAUCCGAGCGUUAUCCGGAUUUAUUGGGUUUAAAGGGAGCGUAGGUGGAUUGUUAAGUCAGUUGUGAAAGUUUGCGGCUCAACCGUAAAAUUGCAGUUGAAACUGGCAGUCUUGAGUACAGUAGAGGUGGGCGGGAUUCGUGGUGUAGCGGUGAAAUGCUUAGAUAUCACGAAGAACUCCGAUUGCGAAGGCAGUUCACUGGACUGCAACUGACACUGAGGCUCGAAAGUGUGGGUAUCAAACAGGAUUAGAUACCCUUGUAGUC